CCUACGGGGUGCAGCAGUGGGGAAUAUUGGGCAAUGGGCGCAAGCCUGACCCAGCAACGCCGCGUGAAGGAAGAAGGCUUUCGGGUUGUAAACUUCUUUUAAGAGGGAAGAGCAGAAGCCGGUACCUCUUGAAUAAGCCACGGCUAACUACGUGCCAGCAGCCGCGGUAAUACGUAGGUGGCAAGCGUUAUCCGGAUUUACUGGGUGUAAAGGGAGCGUAGGCGGCGAUGCAAGUCAGAAGUGAAAGCCCGGGGCUCAACUCCGGGACUGCUUUUGAAACUGUAUGGCUAGAUUGCAGGAGAGGCAAGUGGAAUUCCUAGUGUAGCGGUGAAAUGCGUAGAUAUUAGGAGGAACACCAGUGGCGAAGGCGGCUUGCUGGACUGUAAAUGACGCUGAGGCUCGAAAGCGUGGGGAGCAAACAGGAUUAGAUACCCGAGUAGUC
This 442-nucleotide ribosomal RNA is filed under the name uncultured bacterium. RNAcentral describes it as "partial 16S ribosomal RNA". It matches the Rfam family "Bacterial small subunit ribosomal RNA", at positions 338 to 795 of the family's 1533-position model. The record is from RNAcentral.